Clupea harengus (Atlantic herring) is the source of this 2128-nucleotide long non-coding RNA. RefSeq lists it as uncharacterized. The transcript has 3 exons. NCBI's taxonomy places the organism in Eukaryota, Metazoa, Chordata, Actinopteri, Clupeiformes, Clupeidae. The record is from RefSeq and is a predicted model, not a curated record.
CCUUCCUUCAUAACCAUCAGAAUAAUACAUUUUAGUCACCACGUCGUAUAGCAUUGGAAUUAAAUAUGUAGCACUUUAUUUAGAUCGCUUCCGAAUGCAUGCGAGUAAUCGUCUAGAUUACUACGUAUCAUCUACGAAUUCUGCGUUGUACGUCUCCACGGACAGACUUGAGUGAGAAUGUGUAUCUGUUAUUUUGGUAUAUUUCAACAUUUGACAACCGCGGCACUCAAUUGACAAAGCUAGCCACCUGUGAAACGUCAUUGCAGCAGAGGCAUCACCACCCACCAACGUAGCCACGUUUUCUGCCUAGAAACACCAACGGCUAAUCGGAACAGCGAGACCGAAGAAUCCCGUGGGCUGUUACCAACGUGGGGUGAUUUUUUCAUGCCAAAAAUGGGAGGUGGACAGAGCCUAGAGGAGACUGGACAGCUGGACGACGUUAGACUCUCUGGUCACCGCAUCCAAGAAUCUAACACGGAUGCCCGUUCAGAUGCUGAAACCGCGCCUAACCCAGAUGAGCCUGCCACUGAGCUCCCCCAGUGCAGGAUGGGGGCAAAAAGCGUGGAUGACAUGUGCUUCAUGAUCUCAUGCACUAACUGGUACUAAGGGGCGAUGGGUGGCAAAGCAUUUAAAAACAGGCAUGCAAACCCAAAACUUUGCUUUGAUGCCGCAUGCUCGGGGGAUGUAAGAGUUGUUGAAGUGCUCACCUCAGCACUUCACGUUUUAGUCCAAUUUAGAUCGGGAAAAAAAAACACAAGUACAGCUAAGGGAAGUGGUCGUGCUGCAUGUGGGUUGCUCAGGUGCAGUGUUAAAUGCACUGCUAUUACAGGCCAGGCUUGUACCGGCUGCUACUCAGAAGUCCACCGCAUGCAAAAAUAAACCUUUUUGCUGUGGCUUGCACACUUUGCUGCCUGGGUUUCACCAGAGUUGGCAGAUAGUAGGCUUUGUUUAUCACGUAUGGUUAAAAAAAAAAGACUUGUCAGAUUUAAGAGGAAAGAAAUAAGCACCAGUAAUACUGUUUGAAAGUAUUGAUCAUUGAGGUGAGAAAGAUCCUGAGGGCACUGUGCACCGGAACAUCAUUCGGUGUGUCAUUUACCCAUGUUAGUUGGAUACUAACAUAUAACUAUGGUAGUGGCCAUUCUUUAUGAUCUGCCAUGCUAUUUGAGUUGCAUACUUUUGGCCUUUCACGGCAUUAUAGGAAUCAUAAAUCAUGAGAUUCCUUAUAAACAAUAAUUUUCUUCUUGAACAGUGUAAGAGUCAUUGCAAAGCUUUUUAAACCUUUUAUUGACAUUUCUUUGUUAAUAGAACAUGGUGAUAUUGUUAGAUAUACAGUGUGGAACUGUUGAUGAAAGUAAUAUAUAAAAAACAAUGUUUACUUUUAUGUAAUUAAAAGUGUUUCUUUUGUAAAUAAAGCUUAAAUAAUAUGGUGUGUAAAAACAUAUUCUGAUAACCUUUAUCCAUUUCUGAGAUUGAUAAAACAGAUCAGACAGCAAAAGAAAAAUACAAAAGAUCAGACCUUUCAAAAGUGUCAGGUUUUUAUAUUUACACAAUCAUUUAUUAGGGGGUACGUUCAACUCACAGUCAUCUUGGAACUGUAUUUCUUUUUCUUAGAAAAAUCACUGAUUUUUGUGUUGUAUUUUGAAAACAGACAGUUUGAUAUUCACUUCUUUUGAUCAGUCAGAAAAAAAAAAAAGAAAAAAAGAAUAUGUACAUAAAAUACAUCGUAAAACAUCAUGAAAACAAGAAACAAAAGUGAACGUCCUCUUUAAAGCUAUGUUAGAUAAAAUCUCACUUGAUCCUCAGUUUAAGAACUUUAAUACAAUUUUUAACUUUAAAAGUCUGGACUACCUCUGAUAUGUUUUCUCCUAUUCUCAUGUAAAAGAACUCUAGAAACAAAAGGCAACAACAGGCAAGAUACAGGUGACUGUUGUCUUUAGCCACCAUAAUGUUCAUAUAGUAGGCAAACCCAAGGACCCUUCAUUCCCCCAACCAGUAGAAAAUGGUAUUGUAUAUGAUUAAGAGAAUUAAGAGAAAUGUAAAAGGUAGAUGGACCAGCCCCAUCUAUCCCCCAACGUAUAACUGUGUACAUACUUUGCAUCAAUAUCUUCAAUAAAUAUAUGCCAUAUUA